GAUGAAUAACGUAGCGAAAUGCGAUAAGUAAUGUGAAUUGCAGAAUUCAGUGAAUCAUCGAAUCUUUGAACGCACAUUGCGCCCCCUGGUAUUCCGGGGGGCAUGCCUGUCCGAGCGUCAUUGCUGCCCUCAAGCACGGCUUGUGUGUUGGGCCUCCGUCCUCCUCCCGGGGGACGGGCCCGAAAGGCAGCGGCGGCACCGCGUCCGGUCCUCGAGCGUAUGGGGCUUCGUCACCCGCUCUUGUAGGCCCGGCCGGCGCUUGCCGACACAUCAAUCUUUUUUCCAGGUUGACCUCGGAUCAGGUAGGGAUACCCGCUGAACUUAAGCAUAUCAAUAAGCGGAGGA
This 345-nucleotide unclassified non-coding RNA is filed under the name soil metagenome. Its description in RNAcentral is "partial contains 5.8S ribosomal RNA, internal transcribed spacer 2, and large subunit ribosomal RNA". The stretch from base 1 to 120 matches the Rfam family "5.8S ribosomal RNA", at positions 35 to 154 of the family's 154-position model. The record is from RNAcentral.